This 427-nucleotide ribosomal RNA is filed under the name uncultured bacterium. RNAcentral describes it as "partial 16S ribosomal RNA". It matches the Rfam family "Bacterial small subunit ribosomal RNA", at positions 355 to 774 of the family's 1533-position model. The record is from RNAcentral.
UGGGGAAUAUUGCACAAUGGGCGCAAGCCUGAUGCAGCCAUGCCGCGUGUAUGAAGAAGGCCUUCGGGUUGUAAAGUACUUUCAGCGAGGAGGAAGGCGUUGUGGUUAAUAACCGCAGCGAUUGACGUUACUCGCAGAAGAAGCACCGGCUAACUCCGUGCCAGCAGCCGCGGUAAUACGGAGGGUGCAAGCGUUAAUCGGAAUUACUGGGCGUAAAGCGCACGCAGGCGGUCUGUCAAGUCGGAGGUGAAAUCCCCGGGCUCAACCUGGGAACUGCAUCCGAAACUGGCAGGCUAGAGUCUUGUAGAGGGGGGUAGAAUUCCAGGUGUAGCGGUGAAAUGCGUAGAGAUCUGGAGGAAUACCGGUGGCGAAGGCGGCCCCCUGGACAAAGACUGACGCUCAGGUGCGAAAGCGUGGGGAGCAAACA